Long non-coding RNA from Sitophilus oryzae (rice weevil), 298 nucleotides. RefSeq lists it as uncharacterized. The transcript has 3 exons. The record is from RefSeq and is a predicted model, not a curated record. NCBI's taxonomy places the organism in Eukaryota, Metazoa, Arthropoda, Insecta, Coleoptera, Curculionidae.
CAAUGUUGUUAUGCCAGAAAUAGUGCAGGCAUUGGUAUAGUGAAUCCAGAAACCAGCUUGACGAUAGGCAAAAAGGGAUUGAUACCCCUUAGAGAUUGGCAGCUGGUCGAACACUUAGGACACUUUCACAGGGAACGUAUUCCUGAAAGAAUAGUGCAUGCCAAAGGCGCUGGUGCAUUUGGGGAUUUUAUCUGCACAGAUUCUUUGGAAGAAUUCACCAGUUCUAAAGUGUUUGUAAAAGGGAAAAUAACAAAAAUAGCAGUGCGAUUUUCAACAGUUGCUGGUAAUAUGGGAUCUG